Molecule: transfer RNA, 85 nt
Filed under: Bacteroidaceae bacterium
Lineage: Bacteria; Pseudomonadati; Bacteroidota; Bacteroidia; Bacteroidales; Bacteroidaceae
Description: tRNA-Leu
Rfam family: tRNA
About the family: Transfer RNA (tRNA) molecules are approximately 80 nucleotides in length. Their secondary structure includes four short double-helical elements and three loops (D, anti-codon, and T loops).
Source: RNAcentral
GCGGAUGUGGCGGAAUUGGCAGACGCGCCAGACUUAGGAUCUGGUUCCUUCGGGAUUGGGGGUUCGAGUCCCUUCAUCCGCACCG